GGCAGCACAGAAACUCCAUGGGGGUGAGGGUGGGGGAUUAGAGUGGUGGAAGGGAAGAGAAACUAAGACUUCGAAAGAGUCUUUGGUAAAGAAUGUGGGGGAAGAUGAUGCAGCCCGCAAAACAAGGAGGGAGAAAAUAUAAUGAGUGAAAAAAUGUACAGCAGGAAAUUAAGACUAAAGGAAGCUAUGUUGGUGGACAGAAAAAAACUCCUUGGGGAAAAUGGGCAGCAUAAAAGACAGGUAGGGUGAAAGAUACCUGUGAAGCAAAGCAGGAGCUAUAUUCAGGCACCUGAAGAGCAAAUUCACCUUCUUAGCAAGCAUCUUUAAAGGCCUCCCUCCGAAUUAUUUAUUUAUUUAUUUAUUCAUGAGGCAGCUAACCUCUAGUUGUAGAAAGUCUCUUCACUGUCUCAGUGCAUUAAUGACCUUCCCUUUCUAGAACUGAAUAGGAAUAUAAUAAUGGGUAGAACGGUCAGAUUCUGUGCUCUGACAUUCAGCAGAGAUAGGUCAAUUUUCUAGCUGGCCUGUUCAGGAAAAGGUACAUGAAUUGGGGAGAGAGAUGUCUAAAGCACCAGAGUUGUUCAACUAUAUUGUGGGACACAUAUAUUAUGCACAAAGUGCCAUAAAAGAUCAUAUGGGCACAAUUAAAAGCUUGGUGGAGAAAUUGUUGGAACCAAAUAAAUGGAUAUAACAGACUAUAGCAAUGCCAGCUGAAAAGAAGGGAGAAACCUGUUUAGAAGGAUACAGUCAGGGAAACAUACUGUUAAAGAGGUGCCAUUCGGGCCAGAGAACCCUCUCCAAAGUGAGCAAAGGGGUAGUUUUACAUGAAUUUUAAGGUGCACACAUACCAGACACACUCCACAGAAAACAAAUCCUUCGCCCGUCAAAAUUUAGGAAAUAUUCCCUGAAAAAAUAGACACUUUAUCCAAGUUCACAAAGCAAUCCUGAAGCCAACUUGACUCUCUUAAUGACCCCUGACUCUAAUCAGUCCCAAUCAACAUGGCCAUCGAAGUUGUGUUCCAAAACAUCUAGAAGCCACCAAGUGGGCUAUUGCACCAUACAGUUCAACAGAUACUGCAAAACCAAAAUCAUAGUUGAAAGUUUUCUGCACAGAAUCCUAUUGCUCAAUAAUUAUUCUUUCCCGUCAACUUAUUCAGAAUGCAAGGCUACAAUUUUAGAGUCUGUGGUGCAAUCACCAGCAAGCUUUCUUAUCACAACAUAUUUGACACAAACAAAUGGCAGAUACUGCUAGUGAAAGGACUGGCAGUGGAUGACAAUCAAAUACCUAUGCUUCCAGAGAUCAAUCACAUUUUUAUGUUAUGUUGUUGUUGCUGUUAUUGAUAUCAUUGUUGUAUCUUUAUUUUUAGAUCUUAUGAUUUACGUGGAAAUUGUUUCCAUUUGGUUGUGUACGUUUGAUGUGUUUUAUUUAUUGUUUAUGACUUCUGCUAUGUUUGUAAUUAUGUAAUUUUGUAGUUAUGAAAAUCUUGUCAUGUUGUAAGCCGCCUUGAGCAUAGUUGCAACUAUGGAAAUGUGACAUACAAAUAAAAUUAUGAUGAUGAUGUUAAUCAGUAGACACAAAUAUCUCUUCACUCUUCUAUUCAACGUUUACAAGGAUUUUAAUGAACUGGAAUAAUGUAACAAAAAAGGAAAAAAAUCCCAACACACCACACACAAAAAUCAUAUGUGUCCCUCAAAAGGUCUUGGUACUACAAAGUCACAAAUUACUGGAAACCAUGGGUAUAUGAUAUGGUGUCAUUUUCCCAAGACUAAAGAGAUGGUAGUAACCCAUUAAUGGGACACAUAUGGUAUAGAAACCCAGUGAAAUGAAGCAGUUGAAGCCUUGAGUCUCAAAAAAAUAAAGGAGGACGUCCUUCGCAGCAGCUAUGGAACAAUGUUAAUACAAAUAGAUAGGCCAGUUUCCACAUGCGCUCUCUCUCUCUCUCUCUCUCUGAGGCUAUCCAGCCAGAUCUACCAGUCAGUUAUUUCUGAGUUCUAUUCCAAAAACCCCAGGGCCACAGAAAAGAGAACCGAGGGGCAUAUUGUCACUGCAAAUAGCAACUAUGAACAGACAACCAUCAGCCCAAAGCUGGAGUCCCAAAUUUUUGUGUAAAUUGUACUAAAUUUACAAUGCUGUGGGGCAGGAGCGUGCACACACGUGCACUUUAUGGUGCCCUUGUUAAUAACACUUUUUUCAUGUACGUAAAGGCACAGUGUCCUGAACUUAAUCAUCUCUCACUUCUGAGUCCAGGCCACUGGCAAAUCUAAAAUUAGUCUUCCAGUUUUCCCAGAAAGAGAAAGUGAUGAAAGCCUAUCACAGUAGACUGAUUGGAAGAUUUAUUGGCCCCAUCAGCUAAGGAAUCUGCACUUCAAAUGGUAACCUUGGCUACUUUUCGUAAACUAUGCUAUUAAUUGGCUUUAAGCACAAUAGAGGAGUCCAUUAGGAUCUGCCAGUCACUCCCUACUGCCCUUUCAAUGAAAGGGCCCAGAAGUAUUUCCAAAGUUGCUUAAGGGUUUGUUUGCUCACUUCAAACCCUGCCCUGCCUCCUGCUGGGUUAGGGGGAGAUAAUUCAGACAUGGCCUGGCAGGUUUUUCCUCUCUCUUCUUCACCGACUCUGCAUGGCACCAAUCCCUUUUCACUGAAAUAAUGAUGAACUGAAGGUCUGUCUAGAGGCAUUUUUCAUGGUUCCCAACAAUAUAGUUUCAUCCCAAACUCCUCUGAAAUAUUCAUUUAUAACAAUUAAGUAGUGUGCAUUUCAAAUUUAUUCAUUCAUUCAACAGCUCCUUUAAAUAUUUUUCAAAAACAUUUAAAGAUCUGCUGAAGUUGUAAAUUAUAUGGGAACUGUAACUAGGUGAUAUUACCUAUAGCUAAAAUAAUAAUAAUAAUAAAGACCGGAAAAAGCAGCAAAAAAAAAAGCUACUUCCAUGCAGCAGUUUAAGGAAAACACAGCACUGCUUUGAUCACCUUCUUUGGAAGCCCAACAGUUAGUACGAUGUGUUUGUUUAAAAAUCAGCCAGAAUUAUAACCUUUCAAUCGUGUGAAAUUACUGUGCCUACUCGGAACGUUUGCUAAUUUGGUAAACAUUAGCAGAAACAUACAGCAGGGCAACAUUAACAGCAAAUUCUGCACUAUGUAAAUUUAACACAGCACGAAGAAAUUUCAAUUCUGCCUCAAGGUUCUUUUAAAGGCAAAAUGUGGAGUAGCCAAGUCAGUUUUGCACAAUGCAGGGGACGGAGUAUGGGGUGGAGGGAGCUCAUGGAGUGGGUACUAAAUGACUCAGCAGAAUUUCAGGAAAGAGGAGAAGAGCACCGCAGCCAUGACUGAAACUGUCUGCUUUCAUUACAGAUGCACCUACUGCACCUCCACGCUGGACAUAUACACAUAGUUGUCUGUUAUGGGCAAGUCAACAUCACAUCAAUAUUCACAAGCAUGACUCAAGCUUCACUGCACAUCAAGG
RNAcentral lists this long non-coding RNA (3452 nucleotides) under Podarcis lilfordi (Lilford's wall lizard). The record is from RNAcentral. Lineage: Eukaryota; Metazoa; Chordata; Lepidosauria; Squamata; Lacertidae.